UGCCACCGCCGCGGUAAUACGAAGGGACCUAGCGUAGUUCGGAAUUACUGGGCUUAAAGAGUUCGUAGGUGGUUGAAAAAGUUAGUGGUGAAAUCCCAGAGCUUAACUCUGGAACUGCAUCCAAAACUACAUUUCUUGAGUUUGGUAGAGGAGAGUGGAAUUCCUAGUGUAGAGGUGAAAUUCGUAGAUAUUAGGAGGAACACCAGUGGCGAAGGCGACUCUCUGGGCCAAUACUGACGCUGAGGUUCGAAAGCGUGGGUAGCGAACAGGAUUAGAUA
This 278-nucleotide ribosomal RNA is filed under the name uncultured bacterium. Its description in RNAcentral is "partial 16S ribosomal RNA". It matches the Rfam family "Bacterial small subunit ribosomal RNA", at positions 506 to 784 of the family's 1533-position model. The record is from RNAcentral.